Oryctolagus cuniculus (rabbit) is the source of this 2238-nucleotide long non-coding RNA. Lineage: Eukaryota; Metazoa; Chordata; Mammalia; Lagomorpha; Leporidae. The record is from Ensembl.
AUGUAUGAGAGUUGGAUACUCCCAAAAUUCCAACAAGAUUACACACACAAAGAAAUGUCAUCUGGUAAAUAUUACAUUCUGUUUUUGUUUUUGUUUUAUAAGCUGGAACAGGAGGAGGGGUUGGGGGAUUUAAAAACAGCAAAGCAACAACAAGGAACUGAUCUUCCAGCAGAUUACAUAUCAUCAGUCUUUCUUGUUUUAUGUAGUUAUAAAAUAAAGUCUUAAAAAGUUUGUGCCACCAUAUUUUUUCUACAUGUAUGUAUGUGAUAGAGGUUGGAUCUCCCAGAAGUCUCAAAUUGUAGUCUUGCUUCCUCAUCUUUGAUGGAUUUCUCUGUUGGUUUAUAGAUAAUGUGUACUGAAGCAUUGCCAGUUGAAAAUAACACCUGUAUCUGGUAGAGACGUCUCUCAUAUAUAUCCCCCAUCUUCCCAAGACAGCAGGAACAGAAAUUAUCUUUUUGAGUUAAUACAACCAGAGACAAAGACUUCAGUGUUUUGGCUUAGUGAUAUCUUGUAAGAGGACCAUGAAAAUGAGAAGCUUUAGCUCUUUGUGUUUUAAUCCUGAAGUUUUCAACAAAGAAUAUGUCUAACUUCCACUUACUCCCUUUCCUCACAAUCUUUGUCCACAAAAUUUAUUAUCUAUGAACUUUAUCUAAGUUUUGGCUAUAUUUUAUCAUAAGAUACACUGAAAUCUGCAACAUCCAAAUUUACACUUCUUCUCCUUGCAAGAGGAUCAUCCCACCGCCAUCAUCAUCAACAUCAUCACCAUCAUCAUUAUCAUUGUCUGAGUUCUUACUACAUGCCAGGCACUGAACCUAAUAAUUUAUACACAUCGUUUAAUACUCAUGUAUUUUCAUGAAAGAUCUUACUGUUGCUUCACUUGCAGAUGAAGAAAUGAAGGACUCCUAGAAGGUUAAAUAACUUGUUCAAUGUCACAUAGCAUAUCAAAAGCAGAGUUAAACACAGUACAGGUUUGGUCAAGAGCUCAUGCUCUUAAACAAUAAGAAUUUGAAGUUUGAUCCAUCAUAGCACCUCAAAGGAAGAGGGGACUUAAUAAUUCACCUGUUCCUGAGGGUGAUAACCUAAGUGGAAUAUUAAUCUCCCAAGGGAGACUUUUAAAAAGUUAGUGCUCUAGUAUCAAGUGACUAAGACUCUGAGGCAGGGGGCAUGGCUAUCAACAUCUUAUAAAAGAUGCUCACGUAGUGCAGGGCUAUGGGAGAGAGCUGGGGAAAGGGAAAGAACUUCCUUUCUCUCUCAUUUGUCCUUCCAUUUACUUUUUCUCCUUGUUCUCUCUUGAUUCAAUCUUCUCCUUUCCCUAACCAAACUUUUGUUUCUUGCUCUCCAUUGCAUCGUGGAAGUGACAAAAAAGCCCCAGCCAGUAAACACAGGGCUCUCCUUAAACAGCAAUGAGAGAGAUCACAAAGUGCAGAGAAUGCUCUUUCUUUCUUUUUUUUUUCUUUUUUUUUUUUUUGACAGGCAGAGUGGACAGUGAGAGAGAGAGACAGAGAGGAAGGUCUUCCUUUUGCCGUUGAUUCACCCUCCAAUGGCCGCCGCAGCCGGUGCCCUGCGGCCAGCGCACCGCGCUGAUCCGAUGGCAGGAGCCAGGUACUUAUCCUGGUCUCCCAUGGGGUGCAGGGCCCAAGCACUUGGGCCAUCCUCCGCUGCACUCCCGGGCCAUAGCAGAGAGCUGGCCUGGAAGAGGGGCAACCGGGACAGAAUCCGGCGCCCCGACCGGGACUAGAACCCGGUGUGCCGGCACCGCAAGGUGGAGGAUUAGCCUAGUGAGCCAUGUCACCGGCUGAGAAUGCUCUUUCACAACGGGGGAAGGAAGAGGGCUCUUGGUGUAUAGUGCUUUGUUCUGUCACACCAAAGUGGAAAGAAGUCCAAUGUAAGGUCAAAUACAACAGGGGGCCAGCGCUGUGGUGUAGUGGGUAAGACCACUGCCUGCAGUGCUGGCAUCCCAUAUGGGCACCGGUUCGAGUCCUGGCUAUUCCACUUCCAUUCCAGCUCUCUGCUAUGGGCUGUAAAAGCAGUAGAAGAUGGCCCAAGUCCUUGGGCCCCUGCACCCAUGUGGGAGACCUGGAAGAAGCUCCUGAAUCCUGGCUUUGGAUUGGUGCAGCUCCAGCUGUUGUGGCCAGCUGGGGAGUGAACAAGCAGAUGGAAGACCUCUCUCACUCUCUGCCUCUCCUUCUCUCUACAUAUCUCUGAUUUUCAAAUAAAUAAAUAAAUAAAUCUUUAACA